AUGAAUUUGAUACUGAGAUUUGUUGGAAGAGAGGUUUUAUUGGUGUUGUUCGUUCACGGUGCUCCGACAGAAAGAAUUGGUGUGCUGAUCUUGUUUCUCUCUUGCCUAGAUGUUCUUAUAUUUACUUUUUAUUUAUUUUAUAAAAAAAACUUGCCACGUGUCAUCAUAAAAAAUGGAGAAGUAAAAGGGUGGUGGUGUGGCCGUCUCACGUAA
Non-coding RNA from Vicia faba (fava bean), 213 nucleotides. NCBI's taxonomy places the organism in Eukaryota, Viridiplantae, Streptophyta, Magnoliopsida, Fabales, Fabaceae. The record is from the annotation of a GenBank genome assembly.